Long non-coding RNA from Myotis myotis, 418 nucleotides. RefSeq lists it as uncharacterized. The transcript has 4 exons. Lineage: Eukaryota; Metazoa; Chordata; Mammalia; Chiroptera; Vespertilionidae. The record is from RefSeq and is a predicted model, not a curated record.
GCCUGGGCCACCUGACAAAAGACUGCUGAUAUUUCUGAAUGUAUGUGGGAACUUUGAAUCAACAUCCAGACAUCUACUAGCUGACCACUAAAUAGGCCACUGCACCCUGCGUGUGCAUGAACUUUCAGGACCGCUGCCUCUAUCCAAUCAAAAGUGGAAAACGAGGUACAGUGAAGCAUUACUAUUUCAUGAGAAGCUCAACUUCUCAUGGCCAGUGGACUGGAUCCAGCCAUCUCUCCAUGUCUCAGCGUUGCCGACCUGGGUAGGGUGAAAUUGAAGUGGAACCCUCAUGCAGUGCCCCGGAGGGCUAGGGAUGCUAGUAGCUCACCCCACUCUUCGUUUCCUAGUGAGGGAAACUUUUUCUAGCUGGGGAGUUCUCUCUUGGCAAUAAACAAUGCCAGUUUGGGGGAUGAGAUGA